Non-coding RNA from Schistosoma haematobium, 45 nucleotides. NCBI's taxonomy places the organism in Eukaryota, Metazoa, Platyhelminthes, Trematoda, Strigeidida, Schistosomatidae. The record is from Rfam.
CCCCAGUUGACGAGUCCCAAAUAGGACGGAACGCGCGUCCUUCAU